RNA transcript from Herpailurus yagouaroundi (jaguarundi), 1307 nucleotides. It is a transcript of the gene named coiled-coil domain-containing protein 7, with no coding region annotated. The record is from RefSeq and is a predicted model, not a curated record. The transcript has 13 exons. Lineage: Eukaryota; Metazoa; Chordata; Mammalia; Carnivora; Felidae.
AUAUAAAAUGAUAAUACAUUACAGAUAUUUUUGGUUUGUUUUUCAGAGCUAUGAAUGAUCAAGGUUUGUUAGAGGAUAAAUACAAAGAAAUGCAAAGUAAUUUCCAAGUGUUAUUAGAGGAGAAAUUGGUGCUGGAAAAUGAACUACAAAAGUUGAAGACUACAGAGAAAGCAAAGUCUACAUAUGAUCGAACAAAGAAAACUAUAAAAAUGGAGAAGAAAAAAGACAAAAGAAAAUCUGAGGAUACAGAAGAGAAGAAGUUUCUAGUAAAAGAGCUUAAAGUAAAAGAAGAUUUGCUUCAAGUUCAGAAAGUAGCAUUUGCUCUGGAAGUUGAGAACAAAGUCCUUCAGGAACAAUUGAAACAGGCUUUACAGGAAGCUGAAAGCGCUAAGCAUCAACUUGACUAUUUCCUAAAUCAAGAGAAGGAAUUACUUAAUAGUGAAGAGAAGACCAAGACAACAAUGGAAAUGGGUAUUAGCAAAAUAAAAGUUGAAGAUUCAAAACAUAUACCAUUGGAAAAAGAGACAAGGGAAGCAUUAGUUACAGCUUCAGGUAGACAAAAGACAAAUGCAAAAAUCCAAGAACAUUCACAGAUCUCAAUUUUCACAAAUGGAAGCCCAGCUGACAAAAGAUCCUAAUAGAAUUUCUGAAAUUCUUUGGAAAAGUCUCCCAAACCUUCAGAGAAUGGAUGCGAGUGAAGCAAGGAGAUCCCACCUGAACAGACAUAUGCUCAGUUUGAGGUACCAGAUGGAAAUCUUGUGCUUGAUGAAAACCAAGAUUCAAUAUCAAAAACACAAAUGCAAGUAAAGAAACAGAGAACAUCCAAAGGGGAAAGAAACAUUACUAAUGAUGAUGUACCAGAUAAAAACCUUAUGCUUAAGCAUCAAGACUCAAAGUCAGAAACAGAAAUGCAAGUAAAGAAACAAAAAACUUCCCUAGGUGAAUCAUUCAUUACUCAUGACAACAUAACAGAUGAAAACCCUGUGCUUGAGCCUCAAGAGUCAAUGUCAAAAACCCAACUUCAAGUAAACAAACAAAAAAUUGCUAAAGAGGAAAGAGUCACUAAACUCAAAUUGGUAGAUAAGGUGUUGAGAUCUGUAACUCAAAAGCAAAUGUGGAUCAAAGGAACAAACUAGAAGGGUUGCCUGAGAGGCCUGUUGGAGGAUCCAUAAGGCAUCCAUUUGGCUGGGACCCACUCGAAGCUCAUGAUAAAGUACCUGGAAAUCAUGAUCCUAAAGACUCAAUGUCAAAAACUCAACUGCAAGUAAAAAAACAAAGAGCUUCCAAAGGGGAAAGAUUCUAUGGUA